Molecule: ribosomal RNA, 201 nt
Filed under: Triticum aestivum (bread wheat)
Lineage: Eukaryota; Viridiplantae; Streptophyta; Magnoliopsida; Poales; Poaceae
Description: partial small subunit ribosomal RNA
Source: RNAcentral
ACCCUGCAAUCAAAUAGAUUGUCCCAAGGGCGCCAUAUUCUAGGAGCCCAAGUUAUGCUAUUGAAAAUUCGUUCCUCUAGCAGUUCCGGUUUGAGCAUUCCGUUCCCUUUUUCAAACUCCACUUCUUUUCAUAUAGCAUCCCUGAUCAAAGAGAGAACAAUAUCCCCAUCGAGCCCUGGCUUUAGAGUCACUGGUUUCUAA